RNAcentral lists this unclassified non-coding RNA (333 nucleotides) under soil metagenome. Its description in RNAcentral is "partial contains 5.8S ribosomal RNA, internal transcribed spacer 2, and large subunit ribosomal RNA". The stretch from base 1 to 120 matches the Rfam family "5.8S ribosomal RNA", at positions 35 to 154 of the family's 154-position model. The record is from RNAcentral.
GAUGAAGAACGCAGCGAAAUGCGAUACGUAAUGUGAAUUGCAGAAUUCAGUGAAUCAUCGAAUCUUUGAACGCACAUUGCGCCUGCCAGCACUCUGGCAGGCAUGCCUGUUCGAGCGUCAUUUCAACCAUCAAGCCCUAGGCUUGCGUUGGAGCCCUGCGGCUGCCGCAGGCCCCUAAAAGCAGUGGCGGGCUCGCUAUCACACCGAGUGCAGUAGAUACUCUUCGCUCAGGGCGUGUGGCGGGUUCCAGCCGUGAAACCCCCUACUUCUCAAGGUUGACCUCGGAUCAGGUAGGAAUACCCGCUGAACUUAAGCAUAUCAAUAAGCGGAGGA